This 76-nucleotide microRNA precursor is filed under the name Lepidothrix coronata (blue-crowned manakin). Its description in RNAcentral is "mir-1744 microRNA precursor family". It matches the Rfam family "mir-1744 microRNA precursor family". The record is from Rfam by way of RNAcentral. RNAcentral also lists the same sequence under 1 other name. Lineage: Eukaryota; Metazoa; Chordata; Aves; Passeriformes; Pipridae.
GGGACACCAGAGUGCUCCUCUGUUGAACUCAAGAGCAGAACCUGUGUUGACUUCAACAGGAGCAAGACUCAGCCCU